AUAUGUACUCGGGAACGUUCGUCCUUUAGGUUUUCUCCUGGCGCGUGGGCGCCGCCGAUCAUUUCGGGGCUUAUUUUGGUUCUAAAGCCCGGGGCAGCCAGGUCUCCCUGCCUGGCCUCGGCGGGGACGCGGGACCUGGGGCCCCGGACCGGGCCUAACCGCCCUGGCCGGCCCCCAACUGAUGGUGGCGGUCGGUCCUGACUGUCCUGAUGGCAGCGACCAGGCUGGACUCGGGCUGUGCAGGGGCGAGCGGAGCAGGGCGGGGUGACGCCCGGAGAGCGGCCUGGAGAGCGCGUGCUUCAGAAGGCGUGGGCACCCUGUCCCUUUUGCAGAUGGGGAUGCAGGCCCUGGUGGCGGUGGAGGGGGGAUGGGGGCAGGGACGCUGCCGGGCAGAGGAAGCUGGCCAUUCCUGGGGGAUUCCUGGGAGCCAUGUGGGAGAGGCGUGAGGAAGUGAGACCUUCACCCCGAGACAGGUCCUGACGCACCCUCUGGUGCCUCUACUCAAGUGAGAAGUUUGGCUGCUGUAACUGACUGGGAAGCUUAAAAUAACAGACAAUCAUCUCUCACAUUUAUGGGGACUGGGAAGUCCAAG
Molecule: long non-coding RNA, 592 nt
Filed under: Pan troglodytes (chimpanzee)
Lineage: Eukaryota; Metazoa; Chordata; Mammalia; Primates; Hominidae
Description: lincRNA
Source: RNAcentral